This 468-nucleotide ribosomal RNA is filed under the name uncultured bacterium. RNAcentral describes it as "partial 16S ribosomal RNA". It matches the Rfam family "Bacterial small subunit ribosomal RNA", at positions 28 to 507 of the family's 1533-position model. The record is from RNAcentral.
GACGAACGCUGGCGGCGUGCUUAACACAUGCCAGUCGAACGGAAAGGCCCUGCUUUUGUGGGGUGCUCGAGUGGCGAACGGGUGAGUAACACGUGAGUAACCUGCCCUUGACUUUGGGAUAACUUCAGGGAACUGGGGCUAAUACCGGAUAGGAGCUCCUGCUGCAUGGUGGGGGUUGGAAAGUUUCGGCGGUUGGGGAUGGACUCGCGGCUUAUCAGCUUGUUGGUGGGGUAGUGGCUUACCAAGGCUUUGACGGGUAGCCGGCCUGAGAGGGUGACCGGCCACAUUGGGACUGAGAUACGGCCCAGACUCCUACGGGAGGCAGCAGUGGGGAAUAUUGCACAAUGGGCGGAAGCCUGAUGCAGCAACGCCGCGUGCGGGAUGACGGCCUUCGGGUUGUAAACCGCUUUCGCCUGUGACGAAGCGUGAGUGACGGUAAUGGGUAUAGAAGCACCGGCUAACUACGUG